CUCACAGUGAUCACAUCCGGACUCAGAGACCAACAGAACCUAGUUGGAUGACAGGGAACACAGCACUGAGAUGAUUUACAGUGGCUCCGACUUGGACUCUAACUCUGGGGAAGACAAAUACACGUGUUGGAUCAAUGCAGGUGGAAGCUGGAGAGAGGCAGUUGCAAUCAGUGGGUCCUUCUGUUUCCUUUGGAGACGCUGCUCUGUCCUGGAGUCGCUCUGUCUCGAAGAACGCCUGACUGGAGAUCUCCCCACCGUAGAUGCUCUUCCCAGUCAGCCCUGUUACCUGCCCUGCCUGGCUUUUUUCUCAUCUGCCUUGGGACCCAUGCAUCUAAAGAAGAAGUAGAAAAACAACAUAAAUUAAGAAUGCAGUAUUUACAGUACUAUUUCAAUGCCCAAAUAUUGUUUGAAAUACAGCAUUUGCCAAAUAACAUGAGACAUGUAGAGGCUUCUACAUUAGGUGGCAGUACAUGUACGCUAUAUACACUAUAUAGCCAAAAUUUUAAGGACGCCUGCCGUUACAUGCACAUGUAGGUUAAUGACAUCCCAUUCUUAAUCCGUAGGGUUUAAUAUGGAGUUGGUCCACCCUUUGCAGCUAUAACAGCGUCAACUCUUCUGGGAAGGCUGUCCAAAAAGUUUAGGAGUGUGUUCAUGGGAAUUUGUGACCGUUCUUCUUGAAGCGCAUUUGUGAGGUCAGGCACAGAUGAUGGAGGACAAUGCCUGGCUCACAGUUUCUGCUCUGUGAUUUUAUGUGGCCUACCACUAUGUGGCUGAGUUUCUGUUGUUCCCAAUUGCUUCCACUAUGUUAUAAUACCACUAACAGUUGACCGUGGAAUAGUUAGUAGUGAGGAAAUUUAACAAAUGGACUUAAACGCACAGGUGGCAACCUAUCACUGUACCACGCUUGAAUUCACUGAGGCCCUGAGAGCGACCCAUUCUUUCACAAAUGUUUGUAGAAGCAGUCUGCAUGCCGAGGUGCUUGAUUUUAUACUGUUACAAUGGAAGUGAUUGAAACACCUGAAUUCAAUAAUUCAGAGAGGUGUCUUAAAACUUUUGGUAAUAUAGUGUAUGGAGUUCCUGUGACAUAAGCAUUAAGGUGGUGGAUUAAUAUAUUUCCUUAGAUCAUUUCACCAUCUGCUGGUGGGUGCAUUGAAUUACAUGCACAGUCCCACCGAGGCCAAGACUCAACUCAUCUUGAAGAUAAUUCAUCUUUUUGAGGUCCUGCUUUCCCUCCUCCACACUAAUGCAUCAACCACACUUGUGCCAGAGCAUUAGGCUAAAGCUACAUUACAAUUCAGACCUGCCUUGCCUUGAGGGAAUAUGACACAGACCAUUUAUCUUUUUCAUUUCUGAGUAUUCAUAAUCCAGUGAAUUAGUCUGUUGUGGUGACAGCCCGGCUGACGGUGAGUGUCCUGGUUUUUUCUACUUUUUAUCAGUUCUUCUGCUUUUUUCCUUGGUUUCCUGUUCUCUGCCCGCCUCUCUGUGUUUUCUCCCCUGUGUGCU
This is a long non-coding RNA of Micropterus dolomieu (smallmouth bass), 1503 nucleotides long. RefSeq lists it as uncharacterized. NCBI's taxonomy places the organism in Eukaryota, Metazoa, Chordata, Actinopteri, Centrarchiformes, Centrarchidae. The record is from RefSeq and is a predicted model, not a curated record. The transcript has 3 exons.